GACGAACGCUGGCGGCGUGCUUAACACAUGCAAGUCGAACGGAAAGGCCCUGCUUGCAGGGUACUCGAGUGGCGAACGGGUGAGUAACACGUGGGUGAUCUGCCCUGCACUUCGGGAUAAGCCUGGGAAACUGGGUCUAAUACCGGAUAGGAGCCAUUUUUAGUGUGAUGGUUGGAAAGUUUUUUCGGUGUAGGAUGAGCUCGCGGCCUAUCAGCUUGUUGGCGGGGUAAUGGCCUACCAAGGCGGCGACGGGUAGCCGGCCUGAGAGGGUGGACGGCCACAUUGGGACUGAGAGACGGCCCAGACUCCUACGGGAGGCAGCAGUGGGGAAUAUUGCACAAUGGGCGCAAGCCUGAUGCAGCGACGCCGCGUGGGGGAUGACGGCCUUCGGGUUGUAAACUCCUUUCGCUAGGGACGAAGCUUUUUGUGACGGUACCUAGAGAAGAAGCACCGGCUAACUACGUG
RNAcentral lists this ribosomal RNA (465 nucleotides) under uncultured bacterium. Its description in RNAcentral is "partial 16S ribosomal RNA". It matches the Rfam family "Bacterial small subunit ribosomal RNA", at positions 28 to 507 of the family's 1533-position model. The record is from RNAcentral.